Molecule: ribosomal RNA, 492 nt
Filed under: uncultured bacterium
Lineage: Bacteria
Description: partial 16S ribosomal RNA
Rfam family: Bacterial small subunit ribosomal RNA
Source: RNAcentral
AGUGAACGCUGGCGGUAGGCCUAACACAUGCAAGUCGAACGGCAGCACAGUAAGAGCUUGCUCUUACGGGUGGCGAGUGGCGGACGGGUGAGGAAUACAUCGGAAUCUACUUUUUCGUGGGGGAUAACGUAGGGAAACUUACGCUAAUACCGCAUACGACCUACGGGUGAAAGCAGGGGAUCUUCGGACCUUGCGCGAUUGAAUGAGCCGAUGUCGGAUUAGCUAGUUGGCGGGGUAAAGGCCCACCAAGGCGACGAUCCGUAGCUGGUCUGAGAGGGUGAUCAGCCACACUGGAACUGAGACACGGUCCAGACUCCUCCGGGAGGCAGCAGUGGGGAAUAUUGGACAAUGGGCGCAAGCCUGAUCCAGCCAUACCGCGUAGGUGAAGAAGGCCUUCGGGUUGUAAAGCCCUUUUGUUGGGAAAGAAAAGCAGCAGGUUAAUACCCCGCUGUUCUGACGGUACCUAAAGAAUAAGCACCGGCUAACUUCGUG